UACGUAGGGGGCAAGCGUUGUUCGGAUUUACUGGGCGUAAAGGGCGCGUAGGCGGUUUGGUAAGUUACUUGUGAAAUCUCCGGGCUUAACUCGGAACGGUCAAGUAAUACUGCCGAACUAGAGUGCAGAAGGGGCAAUCGGAAUUCUUGGUGUAGCGGUGAAAUGCGUAGAUAUCAAGAGGAACACCAGAGGCGAAGGCGGAUUGCUGGGCUGACACUGACGCUGAGGCGCGAAAGCUAGGGGAGCAAACAGG
This 253-nucleotide ribosomal RNA is filed under the name uncultured bacterium. Its description in RNAcentral is "partial 16S ribosomal RNA". It matches the Rfam family "Bacterial small subunit ribosomal RNA", at positions 524 to 776 of the family's 1533-position model. The record is from RNAcentral.